AUAAUGUGUGUGACUUCUCUGACACCAUCCAACUUCUAAAGAUCAGGUGUUGGCCAUGCUAGAGAAAGCCAAAGCUAACAUGCCAGCCAAGCCUGCUCCACCCACUAAAGCAACUUCUAAACCAAUGGGAGGGUCAGCUCCAGCCAAAUUCCAGCCUGCAUCAGCACCUGCUGAAGAUUCUAUUUCCAGCAGUACAGAACCCAAACCUGAUCCAAAAAAGGCCAAAGCUCCAGGAUUAUCCUCUAAAGCAAAGAGUGCACAAGGGAAGAAGGUGCCAAGCAAAACCAGCUUAAAGGAGGAUGAAGACAAAUCUGGGCCUAUUUUUAUUGUUGUUCCAAAUGGAAAAGAGCAAAGGAUGAAAGAUGAAAAAGGAUUGAAGGUGCUAAAGUGGAAUUUUACUACCCCACGGGAUGAAUACAUCGAGCAACUAAAGACUCAAAUGUCUAGCUGUGUGGCUAAAUGGUUACAAGAUGAGAUGUUUCACUCAGACUUUCAGCAUCAUAACAAAGCCCUUGCUGUUAUGGUUGAUCACUUGGAGAGUGAAAAAGAAGGUGUUAUUGGUU
RNAcentral lists this small RNA (563 nucleotides) under Pongo abelii (Sumatran orangutan). RNAcentral describes it as "retained intron". The record is from RNAcentral. Lineage: Eukaryota; Metazoa; Chordata; Mammalia; Primates; Hominidae.